This 253-nucleotide ribosomal RNA is filed under the name uncultured bacterium. RNAcentral's name for it is "partial 16S ribosomal RNA". It matches the Rfam family "Bacterial small subunit ribosomal RNA", at positions 524 to 776 of the family's 1533-position model. The record is from RNAcentral.
UACGGGGGGGGCAAGCGUUGUUCGGAAUUACUGGGCGUAAAGGGCGCGUAGGCGGUUCGAUAAGUCAGCUGUGAAAACCAUGGGCUUAACUCAUGGCCUGCAGUUGAGACUGUCGGGCUGGAGUGUGGGAGAGGAGAGUGGAAUUCCUGGUGUAGCGGUGAAAUGCGCAGAUAUCAGGAGGAACACCGAUUGCGAAGGCAGCUCGCUGGAACGUUACUGACGCUGAGACGCGAAAGCGUGGGGAGCAAACAGG